RNAcentral lists this ribosomal RNA (801 nucleotides) under Triticum aestivum (bread wheat). RNAcentral's name for it is "partial small subunit ribosomal RNA". The record is from RNAcentral. Lineage: Eukaryota; Viridiplantae; Streptophyta; Magnoliopsida; Poales; Poaceae.
AUGUUGUACAACCCAGAGGUUCUUUGCUGGAACGUGCGCGGACUCAACAACCCCGUGAAGAAGAAGGCCGUGAGGGAGUUUAUCACCUCGGUGAAAGUCAAUUUGGUGUGUUUACAGGAGACAAAACUUGAUGUUAUUGAUCAGUACGUAGUAAUGCAAUGUGUUGGUCCGUCCUUUGACGGUUUUGCUUAUUUGCCGGCGGAGGAGACUCGUGGUGGUAUCCUUCUCGCUUGGGACUCGACGGUGAUUGCAAUUGAUCACAUUCAGCUAGACGCCAACUCUGUUUCGGGUUUGGUGACCAAUAAGGAUGGGGAGCAAUGGUGGAUUACGGUGGUGUACGCGCCGCAGGGCGAUGAGCUUAAAACGCAAUUCCUCUUGGACCUUUACUCCCGAAGAACGCUUUGCCCUGGGCCGUGGAUGGUGCUAGGCGAUUUUAACAUGAUCCUACGGGCAUCGGAGAAAAGCUAUGAUCAUAUUAAUCGUGCGAUGAUGAACAGAUUUCGUAGUUUCGUGGAUGACCAUGAAUUGAAGGAGCUCUAUAUGCAUGGGCGGAUGUUUACUUGGUCUAACAAGAGAAAUGCCCCCACCUUCACUAAGAUAGACCGGGUGUUGGUGUCGGUCGAGUGGGAGUUGUCGCACCCAGAUCACCUGCUCCAAGCCCUCUCCACGGGUGUUUCUAACCACGCUCCCUUGCACCUGUCGACAAACGCUCUUCUUCAUCAUAAGAAGCGAUUUCGGUUUGAGAUCUUCUGGACCAAUUUGGAAGGAUUCAACGAGGCGAUUAGGGAGGGCUGGACCUGA